Molecule: ribosomal RNA, 1626 nt
Filed under: Triticum aestivum (bread wheat)
Lineage: Eukaryota; Viridiplantae; Streptophyta; Magnoliopsida; Poales; Poaceae
Description: partial small subunit ribosomal RNA
Source: RNAcentral
AUGGCAUCUGCUGUUACGGCCACUCCCGAGAGAGUUUGUAGCUUCGAGCCAUCGGUGUGGGAUGACUUCUUCAUACAUUACGAGCCACAACCACUCAAGACAUCCGAAGAUUGCUUGAGGGCGAAGGCUCAAAAACUUCAGGAGGACGUACAGAUGUUGUUUCAGACAUUUACCAGUGUUGUGCAAAAAAUGAACUUGAUCGACACACUCCAACGUCUCGGAAUUGAUCACCUGUUUGAAGAUCAGAUCAACACAACGAUGAAUGAAAUCCACAAGAAGGAAUUCGACAGUUGUAGCCUAUAUGAUGUUGCUCUUCGCUUCCGCUUGCUUCGAGAGCGUGGCCUUUGGGUGUCUCCAGAUGUAUUCAGUAAGUUCAAGGGCAAAGAUGGGAGAUUGAACAGGGAUAUAAUUAGUGAACCAAUGGGAUUAUUGAGUUUAUACAACGCAGCUUACCUAUCGAUCCCUGGUGAAUCGGAACUCGAUGAAGCCAUCGUUUUCGCACGCCAUCAUCUCGAAUCCAUGAGGGGCAGCAUUAAUUACCCUUUUUCUGAACAAGUCAAACGGAACCUUGAGAUACCACUACCAAGGACUUUGAAGAGGCUUGAUGCGCCAUAUUACAUUGCAGAGUACCAACAAGAGAAAGCAUACAACCCGUCUAUAUUGGAACUUGCAAAGCUCGACUUUAAUCUUCUGCAGCGGCUUCACCAAGAGGAACUUAAGGCUUUCUGCCGGUGGGGAAGUGAUCUAUAUGAAGAAGUGAGACUAACCUACUCUCGGCAUCGUAUUGUUGAAUGCUAUUUCUGGUCCUAUACGGAGUACUAUGAACGACAUUAUGGAGAUGCAAGAAUAAUCCUUGCCAAGUUACUUGUUCUGGCAACCCUAUUAGAUGACACUUUCGAUAUGCAUGCUACAUUAGAAGAGGGCCGAAAGCUCAAUGAAGCAAUACAAAGAUGGGAUGAGAGUGCUAUUCCUCUUUUACCAGAGUACUUGAAAAGGUACUUUGUAAGGUUGAUGAAUACUUUCAAAGAGUUUGAGGAUGAAGUGAAGCCAGAUCACAAGUACCGUGUUGCUUACAGUACCAAAGCGUUCCAAAAUUUGUGCAAGCACUAUCAACAGGAAUCUGAAUGGUUUCAUAGCAGUCACAUACCAAGUUUUGAAGAUCACGUCAAAUGCUCGAUCAUCUCCGCUGGUACUCCGACACUAUUUGUCGGUUCACUUGUGGGUAUGGGUGACGAAGCAUCAAAGGAAGCAUUCGAGUGGGCCAUCGGUUGUACCGAUGCUGUAAGGGCUUGUGCUGAGGUGGCACGUUUCAUGGAUGACUUGGCUUCGUUUAAGCAUGGGAAGAACAAAUUUGAUGUGGCUAGCUCCAUCGAAAGCUACAUCAACCAGCAUCAUUGCACGGAUGAGGUAGCUAUGGACGUGUUGGAUAAUCUGGUCGAAGAUGCAUGGAAAACUACCAAUCAGGCACGAUUUGACCGUGGUGCGCUGCUCCCGCUUGUGAACCGAGCUGCGAACUUCACCAAGAGCAUGACCUUGUUGUUCCGUAACAAAUGUGACCGCUACACAUUCAGUCGUGGCAACAAAGACAGGAUCCAGCAGCAGUUCGUACACCCUAUCCCCCUCUAG